UGUCAUUUAUUCGUUCAUUCUUGUAUUUCUUGUGUUUUGUGAAGUUAUUCAGAAAGUGAAAAUGCAACCUCAGAUCCUUGUGCUGAAGGAGGGGACGGACCAGUCUCAGGGGAAGCCGCAGCUCAUCUCCAACAUCAAUGCGUGCCAGCUUGUCGUCGAUGCUGUACGUACCACACUGGGCCCACGUGGCAUGGACAAGCUGAUUGUCGAUCACAAUGGCAAAGCGGUCAUCUCCAACGAUGGAGCUACUAUUAUGAAGUUGUUGGACAUUGUUCACGCUGCUGCUAAAACUCUGGUGGAUAUCGCCAAAUCACAGGACGCUGAGGUUGGUGAUGGCACCACGUCUGUGGUGAUCCUCGCCGGAGAGAUCCUAAAAAGGAUGAAGCCUUUCGUUGAGGAGGGCGUCCACCCCCGCAUCAUAGUGCGCGCCAUCCGCACGGCGGGCAAGCUGGCUGUGGAUAAAGUGAAGGAGCUGAGCGUCAAGAUUGACAACAAGUCUCCCGAGGAGCAGAGAGAUUUGCUCCAGAAGUGUGCUGUGACCGCGAUGUCAUCCAAGCUGAUCCACCAGCAGAAGGGGCACUUCUCCAAGAUGGUGGUGGACGCCGUGCUGUCCCUGGACGCCCCGCUGCUGCCUCUGGAUAUGAUUGGCAUCAAGAAAGUGUCAGGCGGCGCGCUGGAGGACUCCUUCCUGGUGGCCGGUGUGGCGUUCAAGAAGACGUUCUCGUACGCCGGCUUCGAGAUGCAGCCGAAGAGCUACGACGACUGCAAGAUCGCGCUGCUCAACAUCGAGCUCGAACUCAAGGCCGAGAGGGAUAAUGCUGAGGUGCGCGUGGACAACGUAAAGGAGUACCAGAAGGUGGUGGACGCGGAGUGGCAGAUCCUGUACGAGAAGUUGGCUACGCUUCACGCCAGCGGCGCUAACGUGGUGCUCAGCAAACUGCCCAUUGGCGACGUCGCCACCCAGUACUUUGCCGACAGAGACAUGUUCUGCGCGGGCCGCGUGCCGGAGGAGGACCUGCGGCGCACGCAGCGCGCCUGCGGGGGCGCCGUGCUCACCUCGGUGCGGGACAUGAAGCCCGCGGCGCUGGGGCACUGCAAGCACUUCACCGAGAGGCAGGUCGGAGGCGAGCGGUACAACAUCUUCACUGGGUGUCCAGCGGCGAAGACGUGCACGAUGAUCCUGCGCGGCGGCGCCGAGCAGUUCCUCGAGGAGACGGAGCGCUCGCUGCACGACGCCAUCAUGAUCGUGCGCAGGACCAUCAAGAACGACGCCGUCGUCGCGGGCGGCGGCGCCAUCGACAUGGAGCUGUCGCGGCACCUGCGCGAGCACUCCAAGGCCGUGGCCGGCAAGGAGCAGCUGCUGCUGGCGGCCGCCGCGCGCGCCUUCGAGGCCAUCCCGCGCCAGCUGGCCGACAACGCGGGGCUCGACGCCACCACGCUGCUCAACAAGCUGCGCCAGCGGCACCACCAGGGUGACAAGUGGUAUGGCAUUGAUAUAGUGAAGGAGGAUAUUGGAGACAACUUCGAGUCGUGCGUGUGGGAGCCCGCCAUCGUCAAGAUCAACGCAGUCACCGCCGCUUGCGAGGCUGCCGCGCAGAUCGUGUCAAUCGACGAGACAAUCAAGAAUGCGAAGGGCGAAGCGCCGCCGCAGAUGGGCGGUAUGCCCGGCCGGGGCAUGGGCCGCCCGCGAAUGGGAUAACUUUCUAUAGAUAUACUCUUAUAUUUAUAUACCGCAACUUUUAUCGAGGGUGACCAUAACGGAAUGUUGAAGCGGUGACUGAAAAUUCAAAUUAAUUUUGUCGACAUAAGUGGGUAAAUAAGUUACUCGGUGAAUGUCACCCUCAAAAUUAACAUAAAUACUACAUAAGUUCUCGAAUGUAUCCCAAUGAGGUACAUUCCAAUCGGCGUUCCCCAAACACACGAUAGAUGGAGUUGUUAAGUUUUUUCUACGUUCAAACUUCUAAUUUCACGGAUAACAUACAUUCAAAUUCAAAAAUAUCUUCAUUCAGUAGGUAACAUAGUUACACUUUGAAUCGUCAAUUUUUACGUAACGAACGUCUCAUCCGCCUAAAACUACUGCAGCUUCUCACAACCUGUAUAGCCGGGGAAAAG
This 2112-nucleotide unclassified non-coding RNA is filed under the name Pectinophora gossypiella (pink bollworm). RNAcentral describes it as "t-complex protein 1 subunit eta". The record is from RNAcentral. Lineage: Eukaryota; Metazoa; Arthropoda; Insecta; Lepidoptera; Gelechiidae.